AUUUAAACAUUGAAGAUUCCUUUCAAAAGGUGAAUGGAUAAAGACAACAUGUUAUAUCCAAGCAAUGAAAUACUAUUCAGCAGUAAAUAGCAAUAAAAAGGAGUGGCUAUCAAACCACACAUGCACAUGACUGAAUCUUAAAUGCAAAUUAUGCUCCAUGAAAAUAGACAGAAUGAGGGGCUAAAUAUUGUAUGAUUUCAAUUCUGUGACAUUUUGAAAAAGGCAAAAUUAUAGAGACAUUUUAAUAAGGGUUUUCCUGAGAAACUAAACCAACAGGAUAUAUGUAUGUGUGGGGUGUGUGUGUGUAUUUAAAGAGAUUUAUUACAAGGCAUUGGCCUACACAGUUAUGGAGGCUAGCAUGUCUAAAAUGCACAAUUUAGGUUUGCAGGCUAUAGACCCUGAGACUUGAUGGUGAGUUUCAGUCCAAAGCCAAUAGGCUGCAGACUCCAAAAGAGACAGUGAUGCAGAUGAGGUCUAAGGCAGCUGCUGAAGAAUUCCCUCUUGCUCACAGAGCCACUCUUUUUGUAUUCUUCAGGUCUUCAACUGAUUGGAUAAGGCCCAGCCACAUUAUUCAGGACACUCUGCUUCAGAUUCAGUGUUUAAAUGUUAAUUUAUCCAAAAACACCCUUCAAGUUGGCAUUUAACAUUAACAUCACAGAUUGUGUAGAGAUCAGUUGUUCCCGGGGGUUGUGGAAGGGAAGAUGUUUUUUGAAUAGGUGAAGUGGGGAGACUUAUUUUUAGGGCAGUGGAACUAUUUUCUAUGAUACUGUAAUCUAACUAUAUCACAAAUAUAUGAACAAAUUCUACUAAAGAGAUGUGGAGAAGAGUGUUGACUUAACUGGAAAUUAGUGGUGUCUUUAAAACUAAAAGCUGAAGGAACUGUAUAUGAGUGCAGUAUUCUAGUUGACAAAUUUAUAUCUUACAUGCUUACAAGUUAAUAAUUCUAAAUCGAUUAUAUAUGAAUAUGGGAACUGAGAAGUUAUGUAAGAUGGUGGGAGCCAGUUUUCUUAUUGUUAGACUAGUAGUUUACAGAUAAGCAAUAUAAAAAGGCAAGAGUGAUCUAUGUGGUCAUGGAGUUGGAGAUAUAAUGCUUAGUUUAAUAUAGACACACAUGGUUACAUUUAGAAAUGCAUAUAUAUAUAUAUAUAAUGUAUAUAUAGGGGUUAAUAUACAUACAUAUAUCUCCUUGCUCUGUCAUCUGGGAGGGCUUAGAAGCAAUGCUACCCCAGUAGUCACAGCAUACCUGCCACCCAGUACCAAUGUCUAGUAAAAGGAACCAGGGCUCCUUAAAGAAAUGGAUUUUGCACAUGUGGCAGGAAAAGCACAAGAUGAGCCUGAAGGAUCUUAUAGUACCAGAAAGUAAGAAAGUUCCCCCAAACCCCCUAAUGUGUGUUGGGGGUUAAUGUCAAAGGAAUUAAGGAGGCAUCUGAAAAAGUUCCCAGUGACCAAAGCAGUAAUAAUUCCAGCAAAACAAAGUCGCUUUGGAAUAUAACCCAGGGAUAAAAAAAAGUAUUCAUGAGUCCAUACUGAUAUAAAUGAUUGAAUAAACAAAUAAGGAAGAAAUGUUGAUCUCCCAUGCAGAAUAAUUCCAAAUACUAUAUGUAGAUUAUUCUGCCUUUAAGGAAGUUGAGCAUAAUAAGUUCUCCUCUCCUUGAGGUUGAGCUUUGCAUAGUGACUUCCUUCCGAAGAUUAUAGCAUGCAAAGUCGAGAGUGGGGCUGGGGGAGUAGCAUUAUAGUGGAGAAACCUGACAAACAUGACUUCAGCCAGGUGGUCACUGGCAGCAUCAAGAGUGAUAAGUCAUGUUAAUACUCUGUACCCUUGAUAAGAUGUGAUGAGAAUGGCACUUUACAUCUUUGGUCUCCCUUCCCAAAACCCAUAGAACCAAAUUAGUCUGAGAAAAACAUCAGACAAUUUCCAAUAGAGGGAUGGUCUUCAAAGUAGCUGACCAAUACUUCUCAAACUGUUGAGGUUAUCAAAACAAGGAAAAUCCGAGAAACUAUCACAGACCUGAGGAGAUGAAGGAGACAUGAUGAUUAAAUGCAGUGGGGUAUCCUGGGUGGGAACAUGCAACAUAAAAAUGACAUUAGGUAGAAGCGAAGAGCUUAGUUAAUAAUAAUGUGUGAAUAUUAGUUUAUUAGUUUUGACAAAGGUAUGGUAUCAAUGUAAGAUGGUAGUAAUAGGGGGAACUGGAUGUGGCAUAUAUGGGAAUUUGGUACUAUAUUUGCAGUUCUUCUGUAAAUAUCUGUUCUAAAAUAAAUUGCUUAUUAAGAAAAAAGGAAAAUGAUCUUGCUUGUAUAGUGUUAUUGGAGUGGACAUUCAUGACUGACUUUAAAAAGACCAGUGCAAAGAAAGUACCUCUGGACCAUGUGCAUUAAUUUCCUAGGUCUGCUGUAACAAAUUACCACAAACUGAGGAGCUUUAAACAGCAGAAAUUUACUCUCACACGGUUCCAGAGCCCAGCAGCAGAAUCAAGAUGUCCGCAGGGCCAUGCUCAUCUCUGGAGGUUGUAGGGGAGAAUUCUUCCUUGCCUCUUACAGCCUCUGGGAACUUCCGGCUUUCCUUAAAGUUCUUUGGCUUGUAGAUGCAUCACUCCAGUCUCAGCCUCUGUCUUUACAUGGCCUUCUCCCCUGUAUUUCUCUGUUCCCUCCUUUUCUGUCUCUUCUGAGGACUCCUCACUGAAUUUAGGGCUCACCCUAUCCACGAUGAUUUCAUUUUGAGAUUCUUUCCUUUAUUACCUCUCUACAGCUUUAUUCCAACUAAGGUCCCAUUCUGAAUUUCUAGAUAAUGAUACCUGUUUUGGGGGUCACUGUUCAACCCACACACAUCAUGGCAUAUCCAUAAGGUGUUCAAACACCUGCAGUGCAAAAGAAGCCUGUAUAAAAAUAAAGUAAUCUGCAGUAAAAAUGAGCAUACUACUGGUCUACCAUGUUAAAAUUGUCUUAAAAAUGAUGAUUACAAUAACAAUAAGUAAUCAUUUUUGAGCUCUCACCAUAUGCUAGACACUGAUGGGAAUGCUCUACAUAUAUUAUCUCUCUUAAGCUUCACACUUCAGUUACCCUUGCUUUGUGGAUGGUGAAACUGAGGCACUGACAAGUGAAUGAACUUGCCUUAAGUCCUACUACACAGCUGGUCAUUUUCGGAUUUGUUUGUAGCAUUUGUUAAGUUAAUAUACUGCAUGUAAAAUGUAUAUCCAAACAUUUGUAAAAAUUCUGAAUCCCUCUGUGGAACCUGAGGAUUCCACUUUAAGUCUUUAAAGCCAUGGAAGCAUUGAGUGUUCUUAUUAGCAGCUUGAUAUAAAGAUUUAUCAGUCCCUUUUGCAGGGGGUUCCUGUGAUAAAGAUCAAUAGUGUUUUUUUUAUUUAUAAGAUUUCAGGCAGGAUUCCAUCUCGGUUAUCCAUCUGUCUUCCAGUCAGCACUUACCUUGUCUCAUAAAUUUCUGUUUUCCUCUGAAAAUGAUUUACUUUCAUGUUUAGGUUUCCCUCUCACUAGGAUAAUUUCCUCCCCUCUCCUCUGUGCACAUGCACACACAGGCUUUUUUAUCCAUUUAAAUUUGUGUCUUUCCCCAAAGACUUACAAAUUCCAUCUUAAUGAUGUAAAGACUUAUAAACUCUGCUACAAGCAAAUGUAGCAUUUCUAGACUAGUAAAACUAUGUAGAUGCCAAGUAAAUGUAUAUAAUGAAAUAAGUGAUUCAGAUAAAACAAUUAACAGAUGGCAGGAACAAUUAUAUGUUCACAUUCCUGGCCAACAGCAUUUGGUAGAUAUAAUUACCUUACAGGUGUUAACUGCCCUCCUAUCAUGGAAUGAGACAUCUCUAAACACUAGAGAGGCACAGUAAAAUGACUAAUGGCCACAAAUUAGUAAAAAUUCUAUUGGCUUGUUUUUUAGACAUGAAUCAGAAAGCUAAAUUCGGUUCUUGGAAUCUAGUGCUAAAUGCAGAAAAAGUGGAACUUAAGCAGGAGAGCAGGUGUGGUGUAAUCUUAACUUUGAUUGCUGGGGUGGGGAAAAUACCCUGAACAUUAAAAGACAUUUAAAAUUCACUCAACAUUUGGAAGGUACAAAGUCCAAAGACAAUCAUUCAGGGAAAAGGAAGCAGCUGUUAUGAAGUAUGCCUUUAAGUUUUUUAAAAUUACCUGAGUUUCAUAUGCAAAAUAGAUUGUAAUACUAAUUUCAAAAAAAGUUUCUGUGCACCUAAGUUUGUAGAUGUUUCUUUAUAACCUUAAGAGUAUUAUACUGGAAAUGAAAGUACAAUUUUUUGUGCUCUUAUGUUUCAUGUUUUAAAAUACAAUAUAAUCAUUUUGAUCAGAAGUAUUUGAAAACAGACAAACACAUAUACACAAACUAGGUGAUUCAAGCAUUGUCUUUUAUUUUUGCAUUGUGAAGAAUAAAUAUUUGGUACUUCCAUUUAACAUUUCUAUCAGUUGCAGCAAUCAGCCCAAGGAAGUACUAAAUGAAUCUCAGUCUCUCUGAUCAAAAUUGGGAAAUUUCCUCACUUCCCUUCUGCCUCUAGUUAAUUCUGAAUCUCUGAAUUUAAGAUAUUCU
Molecule: long non-coding RNA, 4540 nt
Organism: Manis pentadactyla (Chinese pangolin)
Lineage: Eukaryota; Metazoa; Chordata; Mammalia; Pholidota; Manidae
Exons: 3
Source: RefSeq, a predicted model, not a curated record